AUUGAACGCUGGCGGCAUGCCUUACACAUGCAAGUCGAACGGUAACGCGGGGCAACCUGGCGACGAGUGGCGAACGGGUGAGUAAUGCAUCGGAACGUGCCCAGAAGUGGGGGAUAGCCCGGCGAAAGCCGGAUUAAUACCGCAUGAGACCUGAGGGUGAAAGCGGGGGAUCGCAAGACCUCGCGCUUUUGGAGCGGCCGAUGUCAGAUUAGCUAGUUGGUGGGGUAAAGGCCUACCAAGGCGACGAUCUGUAGCUGGUCUGAGAGGACGACCAGCCACACUGGGACUGAGACACGGCCCAGACUCCUACGGGAGGCAGCAGUGGGGAAUUUUGGUCAAUGGGCGCAAGCCUGAUCCAGCCAUGCCGCGUGCGGGAAGAAGGCCUUCGGGUUGUAAACCGCUUUUGUCAGGGAAGAAACGCUCUGGGCUAAUACCCUGGGGUAAUGACGGUACCUGAAGAAUAAGCACCGGCUAACUACGUG
Molecule: ribosomal RNA, 482 nt
Filed under: uncultured bacterium
Lineage: Bacteria
Description: partial 16S ribosomal RNA
Rfam family: Bacterial small subunit ribosomal RNA
Source: RNAcentral